This is a long non-coding RNA of Cyprinus carpio (common carp), 872 nucleotides long. The record is from Ensembl. NCBI's taxonomy places the organism in Eukaryota, Metazoa, Chordata, Actinopteri, Cypriniformes, Cyprinidae.
UGUGUCCUUUAGGUCUUUAAAUAGUAGAUGGACUGCCAUAUAUGUAGUAAUGUAGCAACAUAAUAUAUUGGAAAUGUGUUAAUUACUUUGUUUCAUUUCAGGUCCAAAAACUUUCUGCCUUGGGCUAUAUGCCCAUAUUAUUUAUCAGCCAGAGGCACAAGGGCACAGGCAAGUAGAUGGCAGAUGUAGUCACGCAUCUGCCACCAACGCAAAACAACACGCGUUUCUUAACCAGCAUGAAGAGGGUAUAUGACUUCAUAAUCAAACUGGAUGAUGUGCCCCAGCCCCAGCCCCAGAAAGACCAGCCCCUGCCCCUAGACCAGCCUUAGCAAGACCAGCCCCUAUACCAGCCCCAGAAAGACCAGCCCCUCCCCCUAGACCAGCUAAUCCCACAAGACCAGCCUACCCCAACAGACCAGCAAAUUAUUACACUUGAACUAUUUACGAUCAACUCCCAGGCUCAGCAGCAUGUGGAGCCUCUACCACCCAGGAAAAGACAAACCCCACUAUCCACCCCGGGCCUACCAUCCACCCCAGGCCAAGGCAGACGAGCCCCACCAUCCAUCCAACCUCAGCUAAAGAAAAGACAAACCACAGGUAAAGGAGCCACACAAGCCCCACCCUCUACCCUGGCCAAAAAGAAGAAAACAAAAAGUUGCAAAUGCAGUCGACAGACAAUUUAUCCAUACGAUAAAAUAUUGGAAAGACGGAUGAAUGGGGGGAAGGCAGCAGAGGUCAAAGUGCACUGGCUACCUUGCUCUUCCUGUGGCAGAGUCUGGAAGGACACCUGGGAGCCAGCCAGCAAAUUCACCUGAUGACCAAUACUGUUGUACUAUUUGUUUUGUAUAUAUUUGUCAAUAAUUAAAUGGACU